Molecule: ribosomal RNA, 497 nt
Filed under: uncultured bacterium
Lineage: Bacteria
Description: partial 16S ribosomal RNA
Rfam family: Bacterial small subunit ribosomal RNA
Source: RNAcentral
GAUGAACGCUGGCGGCGUGCCUAAUACAUGCAAGUCGAGCGAACAGACGAGGAGCUUGCUCCUCUGACGUUAGCGGCGGACGGGUGAGUAACACGUGGAUAACCUACCUAUAAGACUGGGAUAACUUCGGGAAACCGGAGCUAAUACCGGAUAAUAUAUUGAACCGCAUGGUUCAAUAGUGAAAGACGGUUUUGCUGUCACUUAUAGAUGGAUCCGCGCCGCAUUAGCUAGUUGGUAAGGUAACGGCUUACCAAGGCAACGAUGCGUAGCCGACCUGAGAGGGUGAUCGGCCACACUGGAACUGAGACACGGUCCAGACUCCUACGGGAGGCAGCAGUAAGGAAUCUUCCGCAAUGGGCGAAAGCCUGACGGAGCAACGCCGCGUGAGUGAUGAAGGUCUUCGGAUCGUAAAACUCUGUUAUUAGGGAAGAACAAAUGUGUAAGUAACUAUGCACGUCUUGACGGUACCUAAUCAGAAAGCCACGGCUAACUACGUG